UACGUAGGCGGAAGAUUAAGUCAGUGGUAAAAUCCUGCAGCUUAACUGUAGAACUGUCAUUGAUACUGGUUUUCUUGAAUUUAGUUGAGGUAGGCGGAAUGUGUAAUGUAGCGGUGAAAUGCUUAGAUAUUACACAGAACACCGAUUGCGAAGGCAGCUUACUAAACUAUGAUUGACGCUGAGGUACGAAAGCGUGGGGAGCGAACAGGAUUAGAUACCCUGGUAGUCC
RNAcentral lists this ribosomal RNA (229 nucleotides) under uncultured bacterium. RNAcentral describes it as "partial 16S ribosomal RNA". It matches the Rfam family "Bacterial small subunit ribosomal RNA", at positions 568 to 796 of the family's 1533-position model. The record is from RNAcentral.